UCGAGAAUCUUCCGCAAUGGGCGAAAGCCUGACGGAGCGACAUUACGUGAAUGAUGAAGCCCUUCGGGGUGUAAAGUUCUUUUAUGGGGGAAAAAGUUAUUGAUUGUACCCCAUGAAUAAGAGGAUCCUAAUUCUGUGCCAGCAGGAGCGGUAAUACAGAAUCCUCGAGCGUUACCCGGAUUUAUUGGGCGUAAAGGGUUCGUAGGUGGUAGGGUAAGUUGAAAGUUAAAAUUCAUCGGCUCAACCUUUGAGGUGCUUUCAAUACUGCCAUACUAAGAGGGCGUUAGGGGCUAACGGAACCGACGGAGUAGGGGUGAAAUCCGUUGAUAUCGUCGGGAACACCAAAAGCGAAGGCAGUUAGCUAGAACGACCCUGACACUGAGGAACGAAAGCGUGGGGA
RNAcentral lists this ribosomal RNA (400 nucleotides) under uncultured bacterium. Its description in RNAcentral is "bacterial SSU rRNA". It matches the Rfam family "Bacterial small subunit ribosomal RNA", at positions 355 to 767 of the family's 1533-position model. The record is from RNAcentral.